Molecule: non-coding RNA, 84 nt
Organism: Saitozyma sp. JCM 24511
Lineage: Eukaryota; Fungi; Basidiomycota; Tremellomycetes; Tremellales; Trimorphomycetaceae
Source: the annotation of a GenBank genome assembly
GGGGACAUCCUCUAGUGGUAAGAGGCGAUCUUAGCAGUCUUACCUGAUCUGGUCGCAACCGGCGUUCGAUUCGCCGUGUCUCCA